AUAUGGAGGGGGUUAGCGUUGUUCGGAAUUACUGGGCGUAAAGCGCACGUAGGCGGACUGGAAAGUUGGGGGUGAAAUCCCGGGGCUCAACCCCGGAACUGCCUCCAAAACUUCCAAUCUAGAGAUCGAGAGAGGUGAGUGGAAUUCCAAGUGUAGAGGUGAAAUUCGUAGAUAUUUGGAGGAACACCAGUGGCGAAGGCGGCUCACUGGCUCGAUACUGACGCUGAGGUGCGAAAGCUAGGGGAGCAAACGGGAUUAGAUGCCCGAGUAGUCC
Molecule: ribosomal RNA, 274 nt
Filed under: uncultured bacterium
Lineage: Bacteria
Description: partial 16S ribosomal RNA
Rfam family: Bacterial small subunit ribosomal RNA
Source: RNAcentral